UUUUCAUUUCCAAUUGAUGUGGCUGAUCUAUUGCCAUUUGAUGUAAAAGGUGUGUGGGAAUCCAUGGAAGAAGCUUUGAGACUUGGACUCACGAAAGCUAUUGGUGUCAGUAACUUCUCUGUCAAGAAACUUCAAAAGCUACUAUCUGUUGCCACUGUUCUUCCUGCUGUUAAUCAAGUAAGUCAUUAACCAAACAUCAAUUUAGAUUAAAACUUUGAUUGAUUAUCAAUAUUAUUUAUAUAAUGUACUUGUGUAUGUAUGUAUAGGUAGAGAUGAACCUUGCAUGGCAACAAAAGAAGCUGAGAGAAUUUUGCAAUGAAAAUGGAAUAGUGUUAACUGCA
RNAcentral lists this long non-coding RNA (341 nucleotides) under Lathyrus oleraceus (garden pea). RNAcentral's name for it is "Pisum sativum (pea) long non-coding RNA (PSAT_LNC004201)". Lineage: Eukaryota; Viridiplantae; Streptophyta; Magnoliopsida; Fabales; Fabaceae. The record is from RNAcentral.